GGCUGCAGUGGGGAAUUUUGGACAAUGGGCGCAAGCCUGAUCCAGCAAUGCCGCGUGCAGGAAGAAGGCCUUCGGGUUGUAAACUGCUUUUGUACGGAACGAAACGGUCCUGGUUAAUACCUGGGGCUAAUGACGGUACCGUAAGAAUAAGCACCGGCUAACUACGUGCCAGCAGCCGCGGUAAUACGUAGGGUGCAAGCGUUAAUCGGAAUUACUGGGCGUAAAGCGUGCGCAGGCGGUUAUAUAAGUCAGAUGUGAAAUCCCCGGGCUCAACCUGGGAACUGCAUUUG
RNAcentral lists this ribosomal RNA (290 nucleotides) under Klebsiella pneumoniae. RNAcentral's name for it is "partial 16S ribosomal RNA". It matches the Rfam family "Bacterial small subunit ribosomal RNA", at positions 347 to 629 of the family's 1533-position model. Lineage: Bacteria; Pseudomonadati; Pseudomonadota; Gammaproteobacteria; Enterobacterales; Enterobacteriaceae. The record is from RNAcentral.